RNAcentral lists this unclassified non-coding RNA (344 nucleotides) under soil metagenome. RNAcentral describes it as "partial contains 5.8S ribosomal RNA, internal transcribed spacer 2, and large subunit ribosomal RNA". The stretch from base 1 to 118 matches the Rfam family "5.8S ribosomal RNA", at positions 35 to 154 of the family's 154-position model. The record is from RNAcentral.
GAUGAAGAACGCAGCGAAAUGCGAUACGUAAUGUGAAUUGCAAAUUCAGUGAAUCAUCGAGUCUUUGAACGCACAUUGCGCCCCUGGUAUUCCGGGGGGCAUGCCUGUCCGAGCGUCAUUGCUGCCCUCAAGCACGGCUUGUGUGUUGGGCCCCGUCCUCCGAUCCCGGGGGACGGGCCCGAAAGGCAGCGGCGGCACCGCGUCCGGUCCUCGAGCGUAUGGGGCUUUGUCACCCGCUCUGUAGGCCCGGCCGGCGCUUGCCGAUCAACCCAAAUUUUUAUCCAGGUUGACCUCGGAUCAGGUAGGGAUACCCGCUGAACUUAAGCAUAUCAAUAAGCGGAGGA